RNAcentral lists this long non-coding RNA (11507 nucleotides) under Homo sapiens (human). Its description in RNAcentral is "non-protein coding GATA6-AS1:16". The record is from RNAcentral. Lineage: Eukaryota; Metazoa; Chordata; Mammalia; Primates; Hominidae.
AGACAAUGAGAGCCGCGCUGCCUGCGGGCGUGGGCUGAGCCGCAAGCCCUGUCCCCGGAGUGGGGGCGAGUCCACCCGGGGGGCACCGAGCCCAGGGACCCCGGGGGAGGGGCGGAGGCCACAGAACGCCUGACCUGGCUAGCGACCCGCACCCAUCCAGCGGCGGUGCACCCUCCCGCUCCCGCAGUCGCACACACACACCCACACGAGGGAGGGGGAGGGAGCCUUGGCACGGGAGGAGUUGGCAGUGCACAGUCCCGCGCCGCCGCCGCGGCGGGAGGGGCGCUCCAGACCUUGGGUCAGCACGCCCCCAGAAGGAAGGGGGAACGUGCUCUGCGCCCCCCCGCCCCCCAACCCCCGCCUAGCCCCUUCACAGCAAAUGCGCUUUUUGCCCUGAAGUUGUGUGAGACCGACCUUAAACUUUCUCCGACCCUAUCUCGGGAUGCUACGGCUCAGGUCGUGGUGGUUUCGGGAACCUCAAGACAACAUUCCCCAGCUGACCUUUGGGAACUUUAACUCGGGUCGUCAUGUACGGAAAGGUAGUCUAUGGGGUACGCAGAAUGGAAAAGGGCUUCCACAUCAGUCGUGUCCGAGGACGCUCUCCAACUUUUGAUGUCCCUGGAGAGUUUCUGAUAUUUCCCUGGAGAGUUUCAGAAAGGAUUUCUUCCGACAGACGUGACCCCAGAAGGCUGCCGAGGGAGACUUUAGGACAAGAGGCGUUGUUUUUUUAGGGAAGGAAGAGGAGCCUGUGCAGAGUUGAACUGGGGUGGAGAGGUGCCUUGUAAAGUAUGGUUUCCAGAGAUGGUGAGACCUCGUAGCUAAGCGUUGUUUCCUCUGCACGUAACUGUGAGUUGUGAACUUGUGGCUCCUGGGGGAGCGGGACAGGGCCUGGCAGUGCGGGGGAGGGGGCAAGGAAUUCAGGAAGUUGGCGAGAAUUCUUCGUUUUUCAUUCUUCGUUGUAAAUUGCUUCUAAACACUUCUGAAUUUUAAAUUGCUACCGAGAAGGUCCAGAAACCGUUCUCAUCCAAUUUAGUCACUUUUAUUACGUUCCACUUUGCCUCCCCCAAUCACUGCGGCGGCUCCCAGUUUCAGCGUGGCCGCAUUUGGAAAAGGCUGAAGGUAGAAAACUCUGGAAUGGAGAGGCUGGCGACUGGAGCAGGAUCCAGGGGCUUUAAAUUUUAACCUGAAUGCGAUCGAAUGCGCGACUCCCAGAAGAGAUAGCCAGGCGUCCGCCCGGCCGCUCAACCCCCGCCAGGACUCGGAAUGCCUUGCUUUUGGUUCUUUUCGUGAGUUCCGACCAAAUGUUUAAGUGGACUGGGUUUUGCAGAAGCUCAUUUGUAAGCACUGACGGAAAUGGGUUGUGGGCAUUUGAUUUCCUUUGAUUCCAACGUUUUGAAAUAAUGUUUCUCGGAUUUGCUAUUCGAAGCAAUUUUCUAAAAACUCAUAUCUUAUUUGCUAAAAAUAAACUCUUUGGCUCAGUUUGUGUCCAGGCUGUGUACGGCCUCCAACCCUGAGCCCCGAGGAGAUCGAGCCCUGGCGCGAGCCUGAUCUCUGUCCUGUGUGUUUCUUUGUAUUUGCAAGUACAAGGAUGUCUGCGUGGAUAUCCCUGGACACUCGAUACCCCCCGGGGACCUGCUUUUCCCGCAGCUCCGCAGACGCGGCGGGAGGGCGCGCUGGCCCCGGCGCUGCUGGGACAGAGGUGAGCAGCGGGGUGGACAUUGACCGAUUCGACAACGUUCGGGCUCUAAGGGCUCGGGAAGGGACCCGGCAUUUUACCCUCCAGAUUCCCAAUCUAUUUUUAAAAAUAAUGUUCAAAACAUAUGGGAAAAAUAAGUGAUUGCUCCUUUUCAUGGUCACAGAUUGUAUUUAUUUUUUCAGACUGGUUUUCCAACCUAACGAGGGAAUGGGUAGUGAAUGUUGUUGUUGUUGUUGUUGUUUAUGUUGGUUAAUUUCGAAAUAAAACUGUUUAACUCGUACAGUUGAUUCAGACAGAAAACCAGGCUGCCUGACGUCUCCAAUGUGCCUUUUCCCCAAUGCAUCUUUGGCGCUAGGGACCGCUCUGGGGAAGACAAGCAUGUUUUCAAAGCCACUCCCAUGAGCCCCAGACCCGCGCGUGGAGCUUCCUGGGCGCGCCCCAGCUGGUCUGGAAGGCCGGCAAAUUAGGAAGUUUGGAGGGAAGAGGUGCACCCCAAACUAGGGAGAAACCCAAGAGCUGGGGAGAAGGCCCCCACUAGUGUCCAAAGUACGCGGACAGCUCUUAAAAGUUAUUGUUUUCUUCGUGGGGAUAUAUAUUUUUUCUUUUCCUUCCUUUCCUUUUUUUUUUUCUUUCACCCUCGCAUGUCUCCUCUUUCGGGAUUUGCUAAUCUUGAACGAAACUGUUCUCUCCGGACUGUUUCGACCCAAUGAGCGGCCCCUCCUGGGCAAGUCGUCCCCCUUACCCUCACAGAGGGCUGGCUCCCGGGCGCGGCCUGUCCCCAGGGUUGAUUUAUUUCGGCCGCGCCACACCACUAUUCGCGAUUCGAAUCCACCCAGAACACUGCAGCCAAUUGGGCAGGGGGCGGGGGCUUGGCUGCCAAACGGGAAGGGUGUUUGGGGACCCAGUCUUGCGCCGCUUCCGGAGGAGCGGCGAGACCCAGCAAGGACCCGCGUCCCCGUGCACCUCCACCCCCGCAAACUCACGCUCAUUUUACGAUCCUGUCACAAAACUGGCUGCUUCGGCGAUGUUUCAUAAGGAAAAAGAAUGCAUUUCUGACUUAAAACAUAUUUUUAACUUAGAUUUUUAACAGCCCAGAUUUAUGAGGCCUUCUCGCUUAUACCAUAUUUCUUCCCGUCUCUGGGACGCUUUUACCCAAGGACCCGGGGUCACCUCAGAGCCCCCCACCCCUGCCAGCGUCUGGGGCCAGUGGUGGGUUCCGGGCGGCGUGUCCCCCACUCAGCGGCCGCACUGCACGGUAGGCCGUCGACCAGAGUCCUGGCGGUGAUUUUCUUUAAGUUUAAAUCUCGGGAAACCAAAAACACUCUUUAGAAACGUCAGGUGGUGGCGGCGGAAACUUGCAGGUCGCCCCCACCCCCAGCGCCGGCUCCCGCCGGCGGCCACUUCGGGGAAGGACCGCGCGGAGCCAGCGCCGGGGUCCCCGGGCGGUCGGAAUCGAGGCCCGGCGCGUUGCGCAGGCCAGGCCCGGCCCGGAGGCCCCUUGCCCGGCGCAGCCCCCGGCCGACCCCCGUGCGCCGCCGGCGGCCGCCAGCACGGCGCGGAGGUGGGCUAGCGGCGGCGGCGCACGAAAGGUCACCGCGGUGGCAUUCCUCUCCGCGCUGUUUACGUGACUUAAUGUACUCGCUGCGCCGCGGCCUGUUAUCUAGGCCACCCAAUGACCGACGAAAGAUUUUCCCUCCCUGCUUCUCCCGUGGCCGCUUUAAACCAAAUAAAUUUAGCUAUUAAGGGCCAAGAUGUCUGACAAAAGAUCGAAAGGUGUCUUUCCGUGAUCGCUUAAAGAAGCGAAGGAGAAGCUUGCGGCUCUCAAAUCCCGAUAAAGAAAUUCCGCGCCGGCGCCGGCCUCCCUCCCCGCGGCCUGGUUGCUCCCUGACGCCCUGAGACCCCGACUUCGGCGGCCGCAGACCUCGGACGGGCCCGGCGGGACCUGUGGCUGCCGCCUGGGGAAGGUGGAGGUCCCCGGGCUGCGGGGCCAGGGAGUGCCAGGCCCUAGGAGACGGGCGGACAAGGGGGUCCCCGGGAGCUCUGGAGCUCCAGGUGGGAGCUGGGUAUCCUAAAACGGCCCCCGUGCACUUCGCGGAAAAACUAAGCCAAGCUCAGGGGGCCGAAAUUACCACUCCGUUUUGAUUAUUUUCUGAUACUAAAUAAUAAAGAUAAAACCAAACUGCCCCCACCUACCAUCCCACUCCCUGUAGGUCUGCUAAGGGGCAGUGUGCUGGUCCACGUCGCUGGUCCUGGGGCAGCGCUCCCUUUGAACCCCAGGCUGAAGGUGGUGGGUGGAACUGAGGCUGCCAGGGAAGGUGUGGACUCGCAGAGUAACCGCACGCAGGUGGGAGGCAGAGGUCCAGUCAUUCAGUCAUCCCUCGGCUUGGGUUUGGUUUGAAGUGUGGUAUUUAUUAUCAUUAUUAAUUGCUACUGGCACCACUACAUAAAGCCUAGGGCUGCCAGCUGGGCUGAGGCUCUGCCCCUGGAGUGAUCCCUUCCCUUUCACCAACGGGUGACGGCAGGGAAGAUCCAGUUUCCUGAUCCUGGAUACUAAAAAGUGGGCUUGGGGAGUCAGUUGUGAUGUUUUUGAAGUUUUCUCCUCCCCUUAAGUAAAAAGAGUCCAUAUUCCAGACCAGCAUAAACCUUUUCUACCUUUUUGAAAUAGGACAAGGAGGUGAUGGGGUGGGGGUAAGUUUCAGAUGAGACCCCUUGUCUUCCCUGCAGAGGGCUUUCCCAAGUCUUCUGCCUCCCCCAGUGUGUUCUCUGGCAGAUGCUGGGAGCAGGACUCUCAAUUCCAAAAGGCAGCCCAGGGUCUGCUGUCUGUCCCCUCACACUAGGCUGGGAAGUGGAAGAUGCCUCUCUUUUUUUGUUAUCCCUUCCAAAUAAGGUGAAUGCCAAAAAUCAUACGUCCUAUCUGAUCCGUACCCCACCAGCCUCUGGGGAGGGGAAAAAUUAGAGCAUCAGAGGAAAAGGGAAUAUUUCUGCUCCCAAGAAGGUGAAAGAGAUGGAGAAAUGCCCAACCCACUAGGCAGGGAGGACCUAGGCUCUUCCUGGAUUUUGCUGGUAUCACAAGGUGUGCAGGCCAUGCCAGUUCUAGGGCCAGGGUCCAAAUACGACCGUCCCUGGGCUGUCUCAGCUCAAAGACCUUCCUGACUGUUCAGUAGUUUUUUGGUUUUGUUUUUUCAAAACCAAAAAGCGUGGGACAGGGAUGGCUAAAGGGAAGCAAGAAAAAGAAGAAAUCAGCUUUUGGAGACUUGCUGAAUUACAAAUGCCCCACUUUGAGUCAAUUAAAGGGGCAGAAAGUGCCCAAGAAACAAACAAAAAAAUAACCCAGAAAUAUGACCUCUCCAUACAGCUAUGUUGCAAAUAUGCAGAGAAUUAGGACCAAAGGCUUGUCUACCAGGAUGCAGUCCUCCAGUUCCCUGCCACUUGCCCAAGGCAUACUGAGUAUGCACUGCACGAGGAAGAAAGAGAAGAGUUAGCUCCUAGUUUUGAAGUGUUUACAGUCUAGAAGGUUGGCACCUCUGUAAAGCCGGUUAGGCAAAAUCCCACUUUCCAAGAUGGAAGGAGAUGACCGAGUCUUUUUCCCUUCUCUAGAAAAGUCUAGAUUGCCCUCUAGGCAACCCAGCGGGUUUGAAAAGAAAGGAGUGGCUCAUACACUGAGAGAAUUUCCAGAAGCCAUUGGGCCUGCGCAGGACCCUGGGCCAGGCUGCCUGGGUUUCAAUCCUGAUGCCACCAUUUACUAGCUAUGUGAUCAUGGCAAAUAGCCCAACCUCUCUGUGCCACAGUUUCUUCAUCUGCAAAAUGGGGAUAAUAAAAGUACUCCCAUUACGGGAUUGCUAAGAGGAUGAAAAGAUUUCUUACAUGUAAACUGCUAAUAGUACCUGGCACAUAGUAAGUGCUAUAUAAAUGUUAUUACUAAUAUCUAUUGUAGUAGACUUUCAUAUACUACACCAAAUUUCGAUUUCUUGUUUGGCCCAACUGUCCCCAGGAGCAAGAUUAAUUCCCAGUAAAUAACUUCUUUGAGCACUCAUUCAGUUGGGACCUGUGAUUCACCAGAGGUCUCAAGCCUUUUCUAUGUACCAGCAGUGAGGACUUUAUUUAUUGCAUUAUGGUAGGAAAGGAGGUGAAGGGUGAGACAAACAUAGGUUCUUUACUUGUCUUUGGUUCCUUUGAAGAGGAGACAUCCCUUGUUCCCCUUGCAAAUGCCAGCAACAGAUCUUCUGCAAUAUCUUCUACAGGACAAAGACAGUAAUCUUGAGGCUCCUCCUCUGCUCCAACAAAAGAAUCCCUGUCCCAGCAGCACCCCUUCCUGGGAACCUCUUUCUGGCAGUAGACAGGAGUGAAUUAAGAGACCACUAAGAAGGGCAACCUUGAGGACUGGCAUUAGAUAUUAGCAGGGGCGGGGGGUGGGGGAAGAACUAAUUAAAGUGACCUGAUCAUCUAACUUCAGACUUCUCUUAUGCCUUUUACUCUUCAAUUUGGUUUUGUUAUAUAUGCAGAUUUAUUAUACUUUAAUCAUAUUUUUUUGGAAGGAAGAAAAAAAGAAAGAUCUCUGAGAAGCUAGGGAACACAUUAUUGAUAGGGAAAAAAUCUAGGCCAUUCCAGUCAUUUUUCAACUGAUUUUCUGUUUUGUUUUGUUUUUUUUCUUAUAGCACCCUAUCUUCUAAAAGAAGAUCUAAACCUUCAUAAUGAAAACUUUAAAAAGGAAUUUAUGGGAUGUAACAAAGAAUACUCUUCUCUAGAUAAAAUGACAGGGAAAUAGAUUUGUCUUUCAGAAGGCAAAGUCUGGAGGGAACAUAAAAGUCUUCCCGUCCCUGCAGUUUUUCUGCCCGAUUUGUGCCCAGAGCCUGUUUUUCUCUUGUCUUUGACAGUUCUGAUCUUCUCUACGUUUGAUUUACUGAGUGCUGUCAUUUCUCUGCUCUUUACUUUCACAAUCACACAUUCAAACCUGAUAAAGUUCAAGACCCUGAAUACUUGCAGCUCUCCCAGAUUUACAGCCCUCCUGCCCCCCAGCCCAGCCAGCCGUCCCGAGGCUGAUUGAAUCCUCAUGGACAGAAGCCUUUGGGGGUCAGUGGAGAGCCAGAGGGUCCAAGAGGGCCAGGCCCAGGGGGAACAUCAGCCCCUGUGUCAACUCUGUUAUCCAUAGCAAGCCUGGGUAGGUCCCUUCCCCUUGAAAGCGAUUGUCAACAUCCUCUUGUUUCAGUUCUCACUUCUAGCCUGUAACCUGCCUGUGGGCAAGUACAGGAACUGUAACUCACAAAAUAGAAUUGGUGAGGAUUCAAGAGGCUGAGAUGGAAGUAUCGCUUGAGCCCAGGAGUUCGGGGCAGCAGUGAGCUAUGAUUACACCACUGCACCACUGCACUCCAGCCUGGGCAACAGAGCAAAGCCCACAGUCAAAAAAAAAAAAAAAAAAAAGGCCAGGUGCAGUGGCUCAUGCCUAUAAUCCCAACACUUUGGUAGGCUGAGGCAGGAAGAUCACCUGAGGUCAGGAGUUCGAGUUCGAGACCAGCCUGGCCAACAUGGUGAAACCCUGUCUCUAUAAAAACAGCAAAAAUUAGCCAGGCAUGGUGGCGUGUGCCUUUAGUCCCAGCUAUUCGGGAGGCUGAGGUGGAAGAAUCACUUGAACCCAGGAGGUGGAGGUUGCAGUGAGCCGAGAUCACUGCACUCCAGCCUGGGUGACAGAGUGAGACCUUGUCUCAAUUAAAAAAACAAAACAAAACAAAAAAAAAAACAGAGAGAGAGAAUUGGAUGCAAAAUUGUGGUCAAUGUGCAUGCAUAAGUGCUAGAUUUUCCUGGACUACUAAACAGCCUUGUAAUCAAGGGCAAGACACUUAACCUCUUCGUGUCUCAGUUGCUCCAUACAUAAAAUGGUAAAAAUAUUACUUUCUACAAACAUUAAUCACGAACUAAUGACUUGGGUCCCCUUUCCUGCAUGUACGUCCAUCAGGGCCCCAGAAAGACCACUAGCAUGUGGCUGAUCUGGCUCUUUGGUUUCUGUCAGGUUAAAUACAAACUUACACAUUAAUCUAAAUACUACACCAGUGGGCUAAACAAAAGGGAUGAUCCAUUUCCAAAGGCUGAACAGUUAACUUAGAGUCAAAUUUUCAAACCACUGAAAUGUCUUCUGAUAGAAGAUGCUAUCUAAAUUGUUUAUUCUUUGCCUGCGAAUAUAAGCCCACUCAACCAUAGAACGCUGACCAAAAGCAAUCACUGAGGAUGGACGCCCUUAUUCUCAAUGAUUACUCUAAAGGGACUUCAUACUUACCAAAUAAGCAAUUCUUUUGCAUGAGCUAAUGUUUUCAUUUAUCUUGAACUAUCAGAGUUUUCUGACUAAGGUACACAUUUUAGGUGGCAGCAGUUUAAGUAGGUAUUUUUUUUUAAUCACUAUUCUAAGUCUAUGGACUAAGAAAGGUAUGAUUCCCCUCCCCCCCCUUUAAUGUUCAUGUCCUACAGAGAGCCAAAUUGUCAUAAUACCUAAGGGGAAAAUUGUAUUAACCUAUUAGGGAAGGAAGCAGAGUAGUUGCCUACCUUCUUCAGAAGGGAUUUUUAUUUUUAAUCUAUCCACUCAAGAGACACCCUUUAGAGUAUAUUACAAUGUUGCUUUUUCCUGGCCAUAAUAAUAUUCACCCCUACAGAGGUGGAUAAAGAUAGAAACCUGACUUAAUGGAUAUCAAAUAACUUUUUCUGGCUACUCUUAAGCUAGAUUACUGCUGUUUAUAAUACCACAAAUUAAAGAUAUGCAAUUAUCCAACAAAAAAAGUGUGACUAUUAUACCAUUUUUAAAGAUUGACUACCAGUGCCCAGCAAACUCUAGCCAAAAACCACAGUGUGGAUCCACAAAGCUGUCAACCUUUACAUUUCAGUCAUCUUUCUGUCCAGAGCUCAGCAUGCUUUGGGCAGAAGUGCAAAAGGCUAGGUGCAUGGGGAAAAGUCUAUCCAGUGUAACUGCUGCAGCAGCUGGCUGCACCUCUGCACCUGGAGCUAGAUUAAGCACCAGUUAUGGAGGCAUGGGUUCAAAUCCCAGAUAUGCAUCUUGCUGUUUCUCUUUAGUUGUGUGAUCUUGGGCAUGUUCCUUAAUAUCUCUACUCCUGGUCAGGCACGGUGGCUCACGCCUGUAAUGCCAGCACUUUCGGAGGCCAAGGCAGGUGGAUCACCUGAGGUCAGGAGUUCGAGACCUCUGUGGCCAACAUGGUGAAACCCCGUCUGUACUAAAAAUUCAAAAAUUAGCCGGAGGAGGCUAAUUCUUAUCUCUCAGGAGGCUGAGACAUAAGAAUCACUUGAACCCGGGAGGUGGAGGUUGCAGUGAGCUGAGAUUGCGCCACUGCACUCCAGCCUGGGCAACAGAGCAAGACCCUUCUCAAAAAAAAUAUAUAUAUAUGAUUUUCAUGAAGAUUAAAUGAAUUAAUAUUUAUAAAAUGCUUAGAAGAGUGUUUGGCUCACCAUACAGGGUUUUUGAGAUGUUUGAUAAAUAAGCAAAAACACAAACUUCUAUUUCAGGCCACUUUUUAAGGGGAAGAGAGGAGGUACCAAGGCCUCAAAGAAGUGAGGUAGGAGGGUGAUCAAAACUAAAAAGAAAAGACGAGAAAAAGCUUUCAAGAAUAUCAGACAUUUCCUAUAGGGAAUUAUUUGCAAUCAUCAACUCACCCUGUCUGUCCCUAGGUGAUAGUGCAAGUAAGUUUGUGUUUGUUUUAUUUGGUCAAACUCCUUGAUCCUGCUGAGACAAACACUAUGGUGGGUACUAGGGAAGCAAAGAUGCUUGACAAUGCCCUGCCCUCAAGCUGCUCCCAGAUAAGCAGGAGAGACAGACAAGAUUACAGAAAAUCGUCACACCAGGUGGCAAGUGCCACUGUAGAGAGAAAUCAGGGGACUGUUGGAGUGCAACCAGAGAAGGCUUCCUGGAGCAGUCGUAAAACUCACCUGACUGAGUUUUGAGAAAUGACUUAAUCAGACAAGGUUUAGGAAGUGAGAAGCAGCAAAGAUAAUUAACUGGAGCCUUAGUGUGAAGUGCCAGCAAGAAAGCAGAGAGGUUGGCAGGAUUCUAAUGCAGCCAAAGAUCUUUUAACUAUAAAAUUAUACUAAAAAUGUAGAUGCAAAAAUAUGCCUUUUAGAACAAAAGAUAAGGAGUGUCAAUGAGAAAGAAAUGAUCAAACCUCCAAGUGUAUUCACUGGAAAAUUGACCUCAAGGAUGAAAACCUCUUCAGACAGAGAGAUCACUGUUGCAUGCUAUGAGGGCCAAGUCAUGACUGAAUCUGCUAAAGUAAAUUGUAAUUAGAUUUGGGGCAUUAAAGUGGAACCCAAAAUAAUAAAAUUAGGCUGGAACACUAGAAUGUCAGCUCAAAACGGCCGGGCACGGUGGCUCACGCCUGUAAUCCCAGCACUCUGGGAGGCCGAGGCAGGCUGAUCAUGAGGUCAGGAGAUCGAGACCAUCCUGGCUAGCAUGGUGAAACCCCAUCUCUACUAAAAAUACAAAAAAUUAGUCAGGCGUGGUGACAGGCACCUGUGGUCCCAGCUGCUCGGGAGGCUGAGGCAGGAGAAUGGCGUGAACCCGGGAGGCGGAGGUUGCAGUGAGCCGAGAUCGUGCCACUGCACUCCAGCCUGGGCGACAGAGCGAGACUCCGUCUCUAAAAAAAAUAAAAAUAAAAAAGAAUGUAAGCUCAAGAAAACUGGAAUUUUUGUCUGUUCUGUUCAUCACAGUUUCCCCAGAGCCCAGAACAGAGCCUGGCCCAUAGCAGGCAUGUCAUACGUAUUUGUUGAAUGAAUGGUACAUGAAAAUAUAUAGCACACUCCCCAUAACCUUGCCACUCACUUCUCUGAUGUUGAGACAUGAUAUCACCAGCCUCGUUGAUAUGCCAUCAAAUAGUAAUUCCCACUCACCAGCAUCACAACCUAUUGCCACAUCCCAGGGCAUUGUUGAUUGCUUUCACUUACAAUAAUACCCUCACUGUCUUUGGGCCUGUGGCACACUCUCCCCAGGCCCUGGCAACCUUUUACUUAGACUGCUGUAGGUCUCUUGGGAAGCAGGUGCUUGAGGGCUGUCCCCUCACAUUGGAACUGUAAAUGAAUUCUCUAACUGGCAUCAGACUUUCUACUCACUAUUUAAUAGUCUUCAUUCUCUACUUUCAAAAUCCUGGCACCUGCACCUCACUUGACCCUCCUUCCUGUCCCACCUAUGGCUUCUCUUCUCCCUCAAGCCUUCUCUCACGCACUGCUCUAGGGCUGAAUAGAAAUUCAAGCUCCCAGCUGGGCACAAUGGCUCACGCCUGUAAUCCCAGCACUUUGGGAGGCCGAGGCAGGUGGAUCCCCUGAGGUCAGGAGUUCAAGACCAGCCUGGCAAACAUGGCGAAACCCUCUCUUUCUAAAAAUGUAAAAAUUAGCAGGGCGUGGUGGCACACGCCUGUAAUCCCAGCUACUCAGGAGGCUGAGGCAGGAGAAUCGCUUGAACCCAGGGGUGGAGGUUGCAGUGAGCCGAGAUCGCACCACUUCACUCCAGCCUGGGUGAAAGAGCAAAACUCCAUCUCAAAAAAAAAAAAAAAGAAAAAGAAAGAAAUUCAGCCUUCCUCCUUUCCUAUUCCACCAGUCCCUGAGAUUCUACCUCCUCCACGAGAUCUCGCCUGACAAUUUAGAAGAGGAACAGUGGGUUUUGUUCGUACAUAAUCACCUCAUGUCCCUGGCACCAAUACUCAUGAAUAGUCCAGAACCAAUUUAACUUCGACAUACAAGAGGUCUCCCAGCUUUAAGUGCUAGUUAUGUUUCUGAAGAGUUGUGGGCAUGUAGCAUUUUUGAAAUCCAAAUUAUUCAAGGCCACCCU